CGAGUUAACUGAACCUUCGGGGAACGUUAACGGCGUCGAGCGGCGGACGGGUGAGUAAUGCCUGGGAAAUUGCCCUGAUGUGGGGGAUAACCAUUGGAAACGAUGGCUAAUACCGCAUAAUAGCUUCGGCUCAAAGAGGGGGACCUUCGGGCCUCUCCCGUCAAGGUUUGCCCAGGUGGGAUUAGCUAGUUGGGGAGGUAAUGGCUCACCAAGGCGACGAUCCCUAGCUGGUCUGAGAGGAUGAUCAGCCACACUGGAACUGAGACACCGGCCACACUCCUACGGGAGGCAGCAGUGGGGAAUAUUGCACAAUGGGCGCAAGCCUGAUGCACCCAUGCCGCGUGUGUGAAGAAAGCCUUCGGGUUGUAAAGCACUUUCAGUCGUGAGGAAAGGGGUGUAGUUAAUAGCUGCAUUAUUUGACGUUNGCGACAGAAAAAGCACCGGCUAACUCCGUGCCAGCAGCCGCGGUAAUACCGAGGGUGCGAGCGUUAAUCGGAAUUACUGGGCGUAAAGCGCCUGCGGGUGGUUAGUUAAAUCAGAU
This 541-nucleotide ribosomal RNA is filed under the name bacterium Sc23. RNAcentral describes it as "bacterial SSU rRNA". It matches the Rfam family "Bacterial small subunit ribosomal RNA", at positions 63 to 593 of the family's 1533-position model. The record is from RNAcentral.